This 2797-nucleotide long non-coding RNA is filed under the name Eucalyptus grandis. RNAcentral describes it as "long non-coding RNA (EGRA_LNC000637)". The record is from RNAcentral. Lineage: Eukaryota; Viridiplantae; Streptophyta; Magnoliopsida; Myrtales; Myrtaceae.
UUCUCGUGCACGCCCGCGACGUCCCCUCCGUCUUCUUCCUCAAUCCCAUCUCCUUCAGCCUCUGUCUUUGCUUUCAUUUCUUUUUGCUCCCUUCGAAGACCGCUCGCUCAUCCCUCAUCCAUGCCCCUCAUCCAUCAUCAUCUUUCCUCCACUCCCUCUCUCUCUAUUUGCUGCCCUCUCCACCCACGGAUGUCCCAUGCAGGUCAACCCUCACCCACCGUAAUUCCCUUUUUGUUGACCCAUCUUCACGCCUACGAAUUUCACUGAAGAUUCCAGCAAGCCGACGCGUCCACCGAGUCCACCUUCAUCCGCGGCCCACCUCCUCCUUUGUCCACCAAUCAAUCGAAGCCGAGUCUCUCUCCAUCGAUUUUCAACCGCAGCAGCUCCUUCCCAGCAUCCGCAACACCAUGCCAGCGAAGCCAUCCCACCUGCAGCUCCACUUCGGUUUGUCUUCACGGUCAACAAACCGGUGAAACUCUCCACCAAAUUUGACCGCAAGUUCCACGAUUGGUGGUCCACGACGCCACCUGGCCCAACGUCCCCGAGUCAGCUUCUCUCCCUCGAAGUCCCGCGGUGGACUCCAAUCCAGGCGUCGACGUCAGCCCGCAGUCCACCAAAACAGCUGCUCCGCGUGCGUUUUCCUUCGUUCAGCUGGUCCGGGUGUCUUGGGCCCAACAGAUUUUCAACGGUCCAACAGUUGGGCCCGUCCAUGAGCCCAAGAGUCCAGCAAAGCCCAUCUCAACUUAAGCCCAGCCCAAGAAGCAGCCCAUCAAUUGAGUUUUGAGGUCCAGUCCACCCCAGCCACUUCAGUUCAACGUGCAGCCCAGUAGUCUUCAAGCCCGCACCAAUUAAAGCCCAAGAGUGAGCCCAAUUCCAGUAAAUCAAUUUCAGCCCAGCCCACAAAUUGAAGCCCAUCUUCAGCAAGCCCAAUUCAAUUUGAGUCCAACCCAAAAGCAAGAACAAAUCUCAGCUGGGCCGAGAUUUGUUGGGCCAAGCUUAAGGCCCGGUCCAAGCCCGCCGGUGUUGUCGAAAACCCGAUUUCGGCUGCCGUUGCGUCGCCAUUGCGGUGAUUCGGUCUCCGCUUUUACCAAGUGAGUUUUACUCACUAAUGCUUUCUUAGUUUGCUAAUUAUGCUUAGGGGUUGGUUAGAUUUAAUUAAAUGCAAUUAGGUGGUUAGAUUAGUCUAGAACAAUUAAAUUAGUGACUUAAUGAUGCAUAUUAGGUGGUUAGACUUAGUCAUUAACAAGUAGAGAGCUUCUAUUAUUUAUUGAACGUAUCUCGGGAUUUUUCCCGAUCCGUUUUGGCGUCCAAUCAGGCAUUACAGGCCUAAAUUGGAUUUUUAGUAUUUAUUUAUUUAUUUUUCGAAAUUAAUUAAUUAAUUAUUUAUUUUUCCGGAAAUUCAACCGGGAUGGCCGGUGACUGGAAUUUUAUGCUGAUUGUCGUGGUGCAGUCCGUUUAUUUAAUUGAGCUUUAUUUUGUGCGGAAAUGAUUUAUUUGUGAAUUUAGGAUUUAUUCCCUAAUUUAAAUAAUCUUGGAAAAUUAAUUGGAAAUUAACUGGGCAUCAAUUAAUGAUACCAAAACUGUUUUAGUGGACUACAGAAAAUGUUGGGAUUUAUAAAAAGGAAAUUAUUAUAUUUUGGUUAGAGCCAAUCGUGUACCCACACGUCAUUUUAUCGAAAAGGAUAAAAUUAGUUAUCCGAUUGUUUGCUUGGAAUGGCAUGUAUACCGGCUCGAUGACUCCACGGAACAUCUUCAGACAGGACGGUAUGAUCUACCGGCUCGAUGACUCUACGGACUCCACGGAGCAUCUUGAGACAUGACGGUAUGAUGUACCGGCUCGAUGACUCUACGGAGCAUCUUGAGACAGUACGGUAUGAUAAAUUGUAUGAUCUACCGGCUCGAUGACUCUACGUAGUAUCUUGAGACAGUACGGUAUGAUAAAUUGUGUGUAUACUGGCUCGAUGAUUCCACGCAGUACGGUAUGAUAAAUUGUAUGAUCUACCGGCUCAAUGACUCUACGGAGUAUCUUGAGACAGUACGGUAUGAUAAAUUGUGUGUAUACCGGCUCGGUGACUUUAUAUGUCAUCUUGAGACAGGACGGUAUGAUAUACCGGCUCAGUGACUCUACAAAUUAUCUUGAGAGAUUACGGUAUGAUAUACCUGCUCGAUAAUCCUAUAGAUCAUCUUGAGACAGUACGGUAUGAUUUGAUAGCUCGACGACUCUAUAUAUCGUCUGGGGAUAAGAUAACAUACUAGCUAUAUAUCACCUAGGGUGAGUAGUCUUGGAUGUUGAUCAGACUUAUAGAAAGUAUGGAUGGGGUCAAUCAAGAGAUAAUUUGGAUGACAUGUAAUCGACUAGGUCGAUUGAUCGAUGAUUCGGUCUGAUUGGGUGAGGUGAUGUGAUGAUGUAUAUUUGAUAUAUAUACUAACUUGCAUGAAUGAGCUAAGGCCAAUGUAAGUCCUCUGACUCGUGAUGUGCUUAGGCAGCCUAAGGUGUAUUAGUUUACUAAUAGGGUAUUAGGGGGUAGAAUUCGCUGAGACGUGGUCUCAUUGGUUAUUGAAUAACCAUUUCAGGACCCUGAGAAGAAGCUGAGGAGGAGGAACCUGAAGGGGAGAAAGACUUUUGAAGAAGCAGAUGAUUUAGAGAGGGAUCUUGAGUAUAACCCGGAUGUGAAUUGAGAUCCCAUCCCUUUUGUAAACCCUGUCUUGGUGUAGAUAGGUGUGAGACAAGUAUGCUGUGAAUAGUAUUGUAAAUAUACUAUGAGUUGUGCUGUUAAUGAAAGUGUGGUUGUGAAUU